GGUGGGAAAGACGAGACAACUGAGCACCUGUUCAAGAAAUCAGGAGUUUCACUGCCCCUCGUCCUGGUAUUUAACCGUCAUCGGAGGCUGACCUGCGGCUCUCCCCCAGACGUGCCCGGCUGGUCUUGCCGCUGGCGUCGCUUUAUCCCUGAUAGUGUGAGGAGUCGACGGAAUCCUUUGAUGUCAUCAGUCGUAGUUUGGACCGCCACCUUUGCGUCAUCAGCGGUUAUUUCCUGUCAUCAGUUGAAGUCACUGAAGGACACAGGAAGGGGACAUUGAUGGUCAACGGAAGGGCGAAGUUUUAAGGCGGUGCGAUUAUUUUCAAGGUCCAGUCAGACGCAGCGCUCUAGCUGCCGCUCCGGGUCACUCGGCUCUGAAAGGAUCUCUCUGCCUCCUCAGAUGUGGUCCCAGCUCUGCCCACUGACAUCCUCAAAUAUGCCCAGAAACAGCCGACACAGCUUCAGCUCCUGGAACACACCAUGAAAUCCUGCCUGCUGCUGAGAUUUGGAUGAACCAGAAUCUCCGUUUCUUCCUUUUCUUGUGUAGAAACAUCAGGACCAGCUCGUCAUUGCAGGAAAGAUUCACCACGUGCUCGGUGUGGAAUGCCCUGAAGUUGGCAUAAAGUUAUGAAAUGCUUUGAGCAAGAAUAGAAACAUGCUGAAAUAAAACUACAUUAAAGUAUUUUUACUCAGCAGCUGAUGA
Oreochromis aureus is the source of this 702-nucleotide long non-coding RNA. RefSeq lists it as uncharacterized. The record is from RefSeq and is a predicted model, not a curated record. The transcript is spliced from 4 exons. Lineage: Eukaryota; Metazoa; Chordata; Actinopteri; Cichliformes; Cichlidae.